RNAcentral lists this long non-coding RNA (2982 nucleotides) under Equus asinus (donkey). Its description in RNAcentral is "lncRNA (ENSEASG00005025895.1)". Lineage: Eukaryota; Metazoa; Chordata; Mammalia; Perissodactyla; Equidae. The record is from RNAcentral.
GAAUUAUAUAUCAGCACAACUGUUUUUAAAAAGUAAAAAGAGGUAAAAUUAAUUUUACCAAUAUUUUAUUUAAAUCAAAAUAUGCAAAAUAGUAUCAUUUAAAGAUGUCAUCAAUGUAAAAUAUUCUUAAUGAGAUGCUUCACGUUCGUUUUUGGUACCAGAUUCUUGAAACCUGGUGUGUAUUUUACAGGUACACAUCACCUUGGACUAGCCAUGGAUCAACUGCUCAGGAGCCACAUUUGCUCAGCGGCUUCCUCAUGAAGGUGCAAAUCUAGGCAGUUCAUAGCCUAGCAUCUCUCUGUCUUCCUUCUCUCCUUCCUUCACAAACUCAAACAGGUCUAGGUUCAGAUCAUAUUUUUGCCACUUAUCAGGAGUAUAACUUUGAGUCUGUUAGUUAAUCGUUCUAGAUGAGUUUUCCUUCCUGUGAAAUGGGCACAAUUAAAGAGGGAUCUUGGUCAGGGUGAAUCAAGAGAAUCACUGUAAAGGUAGAAUGGUGCUUGGCGUGUAGUGUUUAAUCAGUGUUACUUCUUAUCAUUUCUUGAUCCCACGGGACAGGACAGCCUGUGUACUCAGAUGGGAAAGACUUGGAGCCAGAGAACCUGAGCUCAAACCCUGGUCCUGUCACGCUCAAGCUGGCUUGUGGAGGAGCCUGCAUUCCUGCACACCCACCGCCCCUUCGGAGGGAGUCUACUCUGAGUUACCCCACUUGCACCUUAGGACCCAGGAUAUGCUUAUUGGACAGGAGACAAUGUCCAGGCUGGCUAGAGGACUGUGAGGUGGCCCGGUGAGAAAUUCAACCCACAGGGAGACUGGGCACCAACUGAUCCGAAUUGUUCUUUUGCAGAAUUCCUUUGCAGAAUUUGAGACAUGGCGAAAGGAUUAGUGUCAGUAUUGGGGGCGGAAGCAGAGAGACACACAGAAGGAGAAUUCUAAUAGAAGCCUUGAGUCAACAUUGGCCAUGGGUGAGUAGGAGGCAUGAAUUCACAGAAAUUAUGAGUCAGCAGAAACGGAUAGAGCAUGGAGUGGGGGUAGCAGAGGAAGAAGCCAAGACCCAGAGACGCUGAGUCACCGCGAUGGCGGUACCCAGGGUACCGAGCGAGGAGGCCCCCUGAGUGGGGCGCCUGAGAGUGCUCCCACUGAGUUACAGAGCUGCUGUGGGGCGGCUGGAGUUACUGCUGUAACCCGAAACUCGUCCAGCCUCUGGGAGCCCUGGUUGGGUGGCUAAAACUUUGGUCUUCCUAAUCUCCUAAUGAACUCGAGGUUGUUUCUCUUCCUUGCAACCUGCAAGAACCUGACCUGUACACCAGCCAUGUCCAAACUCCUCUGAGACUCAGUUGCCUCCCCUGGGAAAUGGGGACAGCUGUUGCUUUGGGUUGUUCAGCAUGUCUUGCUGGGGUGAUGACUUUUGUCUGACACUUCGCAGUUCUGGGCCUGCCAGUCAUGGGAGCACCCCCCGACAAGGUGGCCGUGUAAUCCAGGCUGGCCCUGUCAGACUCUCCAGGGCAGAGAUUUGCUUCGGAAGCAGAGACACCUCUGGAGCAGGGUUGGAACCCCCGAGAUUGUUCCUGGGUUCCUCUGGCUGGGAUCUUCUGAGCCAUCCUGGUUCCUGUUUUCCAAGGCCUGUUUAUUCGGGAGUUUCCCAAUUGCCUUGACAGAUCCCCUAUUCCUGUUUGAGCAAUAACGUAGACUGGACCCACACUGUGCAAGGUUGCUCUGAAGUGAAAUAAGUGACUCCUAGACAGGCCCUCCUGUCUGUUGUUCCCUCCCUGUGCUCUCGCUCCACCUGACACGUCUCCAAUGCUUACCUAACAUCUCUGGGCUCAGUGUCCCCGAAGUAGCCCAGUGUUUUCCCCCUUUGAGAGAAGACGCUAAGCCUAAACCAGCCCCCAGUGUGCCGUGGGCUUUGCCUAGUCCUUGCCAGGUGCCUCUUCCUCACGCUUCAGCUUCUCUUCUGCAUAAUGUGAGAAUAGGGGGUGACUGGGAUCCACGUCAAAUGAGGGCUCCUCUCUGCAGUACCACAGCACUCCCUGUAGGCGGCAGCAUAUGACCACAAAUGUCCUGGAGUGUCGGUCCAGAGCUCAAGACGAGACUGAAGAGAGGUCUUGGCCAGACGCUGCGGAAGAGCGUUUGUUAGCGUGAGGAGCGGAGGGUGCGGGAGGGAGCGGGAAGGAAGGUGGGCGUGUCGCUGGCCUUGAGGCAAAAAGAGACUGGGUCUGAGGUUUGGAAGACGGAAGUGGUGGUAUACCCAAUCCCUCCACCCAUCUGUCCAGCCAGCAAAUAUUUUUGAGCACCUGCACGGGGCUCUGGGGAUGCUUCAGUGAACAAGACGGACGCAGACAGUCCCGGUCCUCACUGAGCUGGUACCUGAACUUAGAACCAUCGUUUUUUCCCAACAGCCAUUAUGGGGCACACCCCUUCGCCUUCUGGGCUGGUUUCCCCCACUGCAAGAUGGGAUAAUGAACUGCGUCCCUCACAGGUCUGUGGAGAGGCUUAGGUGCUGGCACCCGCUCUGCGCCUCUUCCCUUCCCUCAGCCCCACCCCUCCCUUCUCAGGAGCUGAAAACGCCGCUGAGCCCUGCGGUCAUGGUGGGGGGGGGGGCGUCCACCCUCCCGCAGAGUCUGGUUAAGGCCUAAACUUGAAGGGAUCCUCCAGGCCUGUGGAGACCUUCUAAACCUCGGAGUUUUGAAUUUGAUGAUUUGUAUCUAUUCCAGGUUCCAGCAAAAAAAGUGUUUCUAAGGAAACAAGUUGGAGACGAUUUUUACUGAUGAUAUACAUAUACAUGUGUACAUACCCAUACAAAUCUACAUACACUGAUAUGUAUCAUGUACACAUAUGUACACACAGACACACUGAUAUAUAUCAUGUACACACAUAUGUGCACACAGAUACACUGAUAUAUAUCAUGUACACACGUAUGUACACACAGAUACACUGAUAUAUAUCAUGUACACACGUAUGUGCACACAGAUACACUGAUAUAUC